CACGGGGAUUUCUUUCUUCCCGACCGGCUUCAGGCGGCCUUUGUACACCUCGCCGAACUCACCUGACGCGAGGAGAAAACAUGAUGGGGCUGGAACUUGAAGCACUCGGUCCCAAGACCAAAAUUACAAGGUGGAGUAUAAAAAUCCAGGAAGUGUUUCAGGACUUAUUUUCAGUCGGUGAUUGUGACGGAGGACACGUCUUACAGUGGGAGUAAUAAGGAAAGAAGAGAGGAGAGGGGUGUUUUCACAGGGGGAGAGGGAGAGAGAUUAAGCCAGCAGAUGAAAUGCAAAAAAAACUCUACCCAACCAAAAUAUUUCAGGGGGAAGCUCUGGGACUCCAUUUCACAUCCAACAUUUGCGAAAACAUCACACAGCAUUUCUACAGUGCUAGCGCAGAUAGCCAAAGAGAAUGCAUGAAGACAGUUUUAAUUUAUUCCUGUGAAAGUUUUCUGCAUGAAUAAAACAUCCCUCCUGACUUCAAAGCGGCGGGGAAAAAAAUAAUAAAGCAAAAAAAAUAAUAAAUCGG
This is a long non-coding RNA of Scophthalmus maximus (turbot), 526 nucleotides long. RefSeq lists it as uncharacterized. The record is from RefSeq and is a predicted model, not a curated record. NCBI's taxonomy places the organism in Eukaryota, Metazoa, Chordata, Actinopteri, Pleuronectiformes, Scophthalmidae. The transcript has 3 exons.